CAGUCGCCGCGGUAAUACGAAGGGGGCUAGCGUUGUUCGGAUUUACUGGGCGUAAAGCGCACGUAGGCGGAUCGAUCAGUCAGGGGUGAAAUCCCAGAGCUCAACUAUGGAACUGCCUUUGAUACUGUCGAUCUGGAGUAUGGAAGAGGUGAGUGGAAUUCCGAGUGUAGAGGUGAAAUUCGUAGAUAUUCGGAGGAACACCAGUGGCGAAGGCGGCUCACUGGUCCAUUACUGACGCUGAGGUGCGAAAGCGUGGGGAGCAAACAGGAUUAGAUACCCCUGUAGUCCCUGUCUCUUAUAA
This 301-nucleotide ribosomal RNA is filed under the name uncultured bacterium. RNAcentral describes it as "partial 16S ribosomal RNA". It matches the Rfam family "Bacterial small subunit ribosomal RNA", at positions 509 to 809 of the family's 1533-position model. The record is from RNAcentral.